RNAcentral lists this ribosomal RNA (342 nucleotides) under Triticum aestivum (bread wheat). Its description in RNAcentral is "partial small subunit ribosomal RNA". Lineage: Eukaryota; Viridiplantae; Streptophyta; Magnoliopsida; Poales; Poaceae. The record is from RNAcentral.
AUGAACUGCUCGACAAAGGGAAUUGAAGUUGAUAAAGUCAGAAUUGAAGCUAUUGAGAGUUGGCGGCAGCUCAAAACGGUCACACAAGUGAGGAGUUUUUUUGGCCUCGCUGGUUUCUAUAGGUGUUUUGUGAGAGAUUUCAGCACCAUUGCUGCACCUCUCAACGAGCUUACAAAGAAGGACAUGCCUUUUGUUUGGGGUAUCGCACAGGAAGAAGCAUUCACGGUAUUGAAAGAUAAGUUGACACAUGCUCUUUUAUUCCAACUUCCUGAUUUUAAUAAGACUUUUGAGCUUGAAUGUGAUGCUAGUGUAAUUGGAUUAGGAGGUGUUAUUACAAGAUGA